Molecule: small nucleolar RNA, 73 nt
Organism: Amblyraja radiata (thorny skate)
Lineage: Eukaryota; Metazoa; Chordata; Chondrichthyes; Rajiformes; Rajidae
Product: small nucleolar RNA SNORD63
Exons: 1
Source: RefSeq, a predicted model, not a curated record
GUGCCAUGAUGUUUUACAAAAACACAUCAUUCUGACAUAAGAUUAUGGGGAACAUCUUAGAUAACUGAGCACA